This 414-nucleotide ribosomal RNA is filed under the name uncultured microorganism. Its description in RNAcentral is "bacterial SSU rRNA". It matches the Rfam family "Archaeal small subunit ribosomal RNA", at positions 459 to 872 of the family's 1478-position model. The record is from RNAcentral.
CAGCCGCCGCGGUAAUACCGGCGGCCCGAGUGGCGGUCACUAUUAUUGGGCUUAAAGCGUCCGUAGCCGGGUUGGGAAGUCCUCCGGGAAAUCUGGCCGCUUAACGGUCAGAAUGCCGGAGGAUACUCCCAGCCUAGGGAGCGGGAGAGGCCGAGGGGAUUCCCGGAGUAGGGGGGAAAUCCUAUAAUCCCGGGAGGGCCACCUGUGGCGAAGGCGCUCGGCUGGAACGCGUCCGACGGUGAGGGACGAAGGCCAGGGGAGCAAACCGGAUUAGAUACCCGGGUAGUCCUGGCUGUAAACGAUGCGGACUUUGUGUCGGACAAGCUAUGAGCUUGUCCGGUGCCGGAGGGAAACCGUUAAGUCCGCCGCCUGGGGAGUACGGCCGCAAGGCUGAAACUUAAAGGAAUUGGCGGG